GGGCCUCUUAACCCCACUCCAGGCGUAGAUAACGAAGGAGACAGUUCAAGAGAGGCAUGAAUAUGCCAAUGCCUUCUCCUCCGUCAACUCCACAGCAGUCGCAUCCAUUUUCUUCCUCGAGAACUCAUCAAUUGGAAGCCCUGAUAGCAUCAUAGGCAGAGAUAUUAAUGAUCAAUCACUUUUCUCCUUUACUUUGUACUACAUAUCAGUUGAUUAUUCAGAAAGUUUUAUGGCAUAAAACUGUGCAAAACAAGAUGAGUAAUUCUAUUACCAGAAUAUGAUACUAAGCUAGAUAAACUACAUGGAGAAGCAGCUUGAUUCUUGGAAAUACUUCAAUACGAUGGAUAAAUUCUUGAAAAUACUUCAAUAUGAAGGAUGAUAUUAUUUAGGAAGAUUCUAUUCAGCCAAUCUGCAGAAUGCAGAUGAUACCAAAAUUAUGUGUGAACACACUGGAUUCCAAACAUAAGCCUGCACCAUAAUGCAUUGGUUAUAAAACUAAUGCCACUUCAUAGGCUGAUUGACCGUUUCUACAAAGUGCAACAACAUCCAAUUACAAAGUGGGUUUUCAUCUCAGGAUAGUCAGCCUGAGAUAUAGUUUGGAUCAGUAUCAGAUAGUCACUGAUAUAUCGGCCGAUAUGAUAUCAAAAUAUUGGCUAAGGUUUCCUGGCAUGCCUUUUAGAAUCUUUAAAUUAAUAUUUUAUUAUUACAUCUUCAAAUCACUGUCUUAAUAAGGAAAUUGGUGCAGGUCUACUAGAUUAAUCAGGGCCUUUGAGAUCUCAGUUCCUAUAAUAACGGUCGAGAUAUCAGAAUUCUUUCCUUUCUUCAUUUUUCUGAAUUUCCUAUCUUUGUGGAGAUAAACCAAUAUCUUGUCCAUCGCAAUAUCGGAAACCUUCUGGGAUGACUAAGAUCUAGGUAGUUAAAAAAUCCUGAUCAAAUCACCAAAAAUAACAUCCAUUAUUUGGUCAUGAUUGUUGCAAUACAGAGUUGCAGUCUUUAUUUUACGACUGUGCAACUCAGUUUGAGUUCACCUUUUCAGCCCAUGUGAGAUAAUGUGGGAAGGACAAGAUUCCCUUAAAUUACAAAACCGAACGAUGUUUUUGCUAUAGACAAAAUCAACCAGGAGAUCAACCCAAUAAGAAAUAAAACAAGUCUCUAGAUAUCAACAGUUAUGGACUGUACGUCGAAUGGCUCAAGUCAAUCCUGAAUAACAUGGCCAUUCAUGUAAUCAAGUCUGGCAAGCAAAGUUCACAGUGCUAACGUGUACCAUCCUGUACUAGAAAACACUGUACCAUAUUGGUACCAACUGAUGCUUGAUAUGAGGGGUAUACCAAGUGCCACUAUGCCGAAUUGCCCUUGGCACCAAGGGUUCUGACAUUGCACCAAGAUGGCACAGCUAUGGGAUCUAGUACCAAGAUUGUGAACUUCACUUGCAAGUCCGUUGGGUUUCCACAAUGGGAUCAUUUGGGAUAAAAAAUCACAGAAGAUUUAUGAAUCGACCAUCUACAAUUUGGAAGGAACGAAAAGAUGAGUUCAAAACAGUGGAUAUUUUACAACCGAGGAUUUGCCAAGAAACCAUAUAAUCCAAUUCGUUUCCCAAAAAAAUUAUGAAAAUCAAGUGAACCAAAAAUAGGAGGAAUAUAAAUCAGCACUAGUUAAUUAAGCUCAGCUUAAUGUCACUGGAAGUGUAGUUUUAGUAGAAAUAGAGAUAAAGAUGGGACGCCACUUAAGUUUGAUGGAUAUGGGAUCCCAUGAAACAAUCAGUUUCGUUAUCAGAAUUUAUUAAACAAAAUAAUGGAAAAAGAUGAAAGCAUAUGUGACAAAUCUAUAGCUGGUUGGAUGGAGGGGAGAAGUUCUUGAGGGCUAUUAUGUAAUUAAGACACAACUAAGGAAAAAAUUAGAAUGACAAUAAGACCUUGCAAUAUCAUAUGGUCUAGAAUAUUGGGUAAUAAAGAGGCUCCAGAAAACAAGUUAAAUGUAGCAAAUAUGAGGACAUACGCAAGUGAGAGAAUUUACAAAAACAGAGGAAUGAGUAUCCUCAAAGAGUUGUAUGAGUUAUCCAAAUAGGAAAUUAAGUGAUGGAGAAUUGGUUAUGAUGGUAUGGGCAAGUGUAAGAUAAGCUGAGGGGCUCUGUUAUUUGUCAAAAGAUAUAAUAAAUAGAAGGGAAGACCUGAGGUAACACAAAGUUGUGAGAGGGGAUAUAGAAAAGCUUGAUAAGAGGUAGCCAUAAGUAGGAAUGCUGGGUGAACAAGGAUUCUAAAAGCUGAACCCAUAAGUAAAAAUUCUGGGUGAACAAUGAUCCUAAAAGCUGAACCCAAAACAUCAGGACAUAGGUUAGUCAUGGUUGCGAGCAUUCCAGGUGAGUGCUGCUGCAGGUAAAACAUUUUCAACAUAUGGUACUUCAAAUUAUAGAUAGAUUCAUCGGGCAUCUCAAAUGGGGAAAAGAAUGAUGAUUUGUAGACAAACAUUUUCAAGGAGAUACAGAAGUGAUGUAUGGACCCCAAUAUGACUUGUCAAGAAAUGCAAGAAGGCUAAGUCUUUGGUAGAGAGGGAGAGUAGGAAUAGGAAUAGUAUUAUAUAUGAGAGGAACUAUUCGGGCAUGUGUUUAUUCCCACAUGUGGGUGUCCAUUGGGUAAGUCUUCGGUACUUAAGUAGGGCCAAGGACCCAAACCAAUAAACUUCUAGCUAGCCUUUUUGGAUGAGGUUGUGGGCUGUCAUAAAUGCUUUCAGAACUAACCCAGGCCACAGUGCUUUUGAACUAAUCAUAAACCAGUUGGGUUGUUUAUAAUUGGACCCUUCCCUUGAUGAGCCUGCUUUAGAUUAAAUGGGGAGAGUGUGGACCAAUGCAUGCAUUUAGUCCCACAUUUAGCGUGCGUUGGGUAGUCAAGCAAGGCUAAUGACUCCAGUUAACAACUUCAAUCAGGCCUUUUUAGGUGAGCUCCUGGGUCAUUACAGCAUAUUAGUUAAGAGUUCUUCAAUUGGUCUUAAUUUCCUAAUAAAGUUGGUAGGUUCAACCUUUACCAUGAAGCCCAGUGUCUGCUAAGAGAAUUAGGUGGUUAGAUUCAGCAAAAGUAGGAAAGCAGAAAAUUGCGGGGUUUUAUUAAAGUGUAAGGUAAGAACAAAUCAUUAUCAUAUAUCCUUUUAUUCCCCUUCAGAGUCUGUGGUUUUUACUUUGUCAGGGAGUCUUUACCGUGCAGUGAUGUUACAUGGCAGUACACUUGAUCUCAAGUUCAUCUCUUUCUUUCAAGUGCAAGCAUGUCCAAAAUGUCAAGUACUACAAGUCUACAACCAUUAGGGGGCAAAUAAGGAAAACUUUUGCUUAAAGGAGUUAUUACAGGUUUAUAAGAUGAAGUUCAUGCAUAAAUGACUUCCAUGGCAAUGAACAUAACAAAUGUGAAUGACUAAAAUAUCAAAAAAUGACUAAUGAUAUUCCAAUAAAAUUACAAAUCACUAUGGCCACAAGUACCAAUAAAAAAUGAUUAAAAAAAAUAUUUAAGAAUAAGUAGAUCCAGAUUUCUCAUACAAAUAAUACGCAUACUCAUAAUGAAAUUUAACAAAAACUGUUGUUUAUAGUUUAAAGAAUAAAAAACAUUUUUCUCCUUAUUUUGCUAAAAUAUUUGUUCCUAAAAUUUGUAAGCUUUAUUUAUAAAUUGCUUGCAUGCACACUAACAUCUAACAAAUUCACUUUUAGGGAAUUUUAAUUAAUAGGAUAACAAUCAAACCCAUUUUUCAUAAUUUUAUAUAAUUAAUUUUGAAAUGUAUGGAAGGAAAGCAAAUUAAGUAAAUCACUAAAAUCAAGUUUCUCUUAAAUAUCUCGAAAUUGAAUACUAAGGUUUCUUUGCCUUUCAAAACAUUAAAAAAAAUCCAGAUUUGAUCUUGCUAGUUCAGUCUAUCACCUGUAAGCAAUAUCUUACUGCAAAUGUAAGAUAAUUAAAGCAAACACCCUUAAAUGAGACUCAAGGCUUUCUAUGUGUUGAAGUCAUCAAAAAACACUGAAACUAGUCAAUUCCAAAAUAUAUUAACUGAAGCCAAUAAAACCUCAAAACUUUAGACCUAUUCCAACUGAAAUAGCCCCCGCCAAAACCCAAAACAUACACCAAACAACUCCAGCCUCUCUUAGCUUCAAAUGGUCCUAGACAAAUCCUAUCUCACCUAUGCAACAACAAAAAUGUCAAGAAACACUGUCUUUAAGGGAAUCAUCAAUGCAAAGAGUGCCUUCAGCUUAAUUCAUCUUAUAAGGAGUAUUAUUUAUCAGAAUGACAUUGCACUACAGUCUGUGCACCUAUAUUUUCUCUGUGAAGUUGUGAACCAGAGAAAUUUAGGUACAGCAUUGUUGAAGGCAGCUACUACAAAAAAUAUUAUAAACUAUUGGUUACGGAUGCAUGACACAACUAGGGAGAAGUAGAAGCCCUACCAGGUUAGUGUAACAAGCUAUAACUAAGAAGAACUUCCACCAGAUUUGCACCUCUAACCACCUUUAAUAGUGAAAGACUAGCUUAGAAUAGACUUAAACUUUCCCAAGUAUUAAGCUCAAAUCCUGUUCAUCUUUUUGAUGUGAUAGGUUGAUCACACCUUCAAAAUCUGCAUGGCUUCUUCAUAGAUAUAAGAAGCAGCAUGACUUCGAACAAAGACUGUACCAGAUGAUACUUGGACUACUCUGUUAAUUUAUAAUACAAACUGGAUUUCAAAAAAAAUCAACAUAUUAUGGAUUUUGUAAAAAUUCAGCCUAGUCAAUAUAAGCAUACAAGAUUCUGAAGUUUCCCAAGCAACAUGCAUACCUUGAACAAUGGUCCACUCGCCAUUGCGACAUGUCACAGGAAAUGAAUAAAUAAGCCCAGCUGGUACAUUGUAUGAACCAUCAGAAUACACUCCCAUGGAAACCCAUGUUCCCUGAGACAGCGGAAGGAAAAUAUUUAGCGAACUUCACAACAAACAAGCCAACUGAAUCAGAUAAAAGACAGCUGAACAAUGGUCCACUCGCCAUUGCGACAUGUCACAGGAAAUGAAUAAAUAAGCCCAGCCGGUACAUUGUAUGAACCAUCAGAAUACACUCCCAUGGAAACCCAUGUUC
RNAcentral lists this long non-coding RNA (5068 nucleotides) under Phoenix dactylifera (date palm). RNAcentral describes it as "long non-coding RNA (PDAC_LNC002041)". Lineage: Eukaryota; Viridiplantae; Streptophyta; Magnoliopsida; Arecales; Arecaceae. The record is from RNAcentral.